AAGUCGUAACAAGGUUUCCGUAGGUGAACCUGCGGAAGGAUCAUUAUAGAGCGUGGGAGCUUCGGCCCCUAAUUCUACACCCCGUGCCUACCUACCUUCGUUGCUUUGGCGGGCCCUGGGGUUCGCUCCACGCCGACCCGGUGGCUUCGUUGCCUCGGCCAGUCCGUGCCCGCCAGAGGUCCAUUAAACCCCGUUUUAUCCGUGCCGUCCGAGUCAAAAACAUAAUAGUCAAAAACUUUCAACAACGGAUCUCUUGGUUCCAGCAUCGAUGAAGAACGCAGCGAAAUGCGAUAAGUAAUGUGAAUUGCAGAAUUCAGUGAAUCAUCGAAUCUUUGAACGCACAUUGCGCCCCUCGGUAUUCCGGGGGGCAUGCCUGUUCGAGCGUCAUUGCACCCCUCAAGCGUAGCUUGGUGUUGGGCCCUCGCCUCUCGAGGCGUGCCCGAAAAGCAGUGGGGGUCCGGCGAGACUUUAAGCGUAGUAAAUUUUCAUGUCGCUUCCAAGGCCUCGGGGUAACCCGUCCAUCAGCCCCCCCUUUCUCAAUAAUUGACCUCGGAUCAGGUAGGGAUACCCGCUGAACUUAA
This 581-nucleotide ribosomal RNA is filed under the name Calvitimela livida. RNAcentral's name for it is "eukaryotic LSU rRNA". The stretch from base 234 to 387 matches the Rfam family "5.8S ribosomal RNA". Lineage: Eukaryota; Fungi; Ascomycota; Lecanoromycetes; Lecanorales; Tephromelataceae. The record is from RNAcentral.